This 306-nucleotide ribosomal RNA is filed under the name uncultured bacterium. Its description in RNAcentral is "partial 16S ribosomal RNA". It matches the Rfam family "Bacterial small subunit ribosomal RNA", at positions 505 to 807 of the family's 1533-position model. The record is from RNAcentral.
GACAGCAGCAGCCGCGGGAAUACAGAGGGUGCAAGCGUUAAUCGGAAUUACUGGGCGUAAAGCGCGCGUAGGUGGUUUGUUAAGUUGGAUGUGAAAUCCCCGGGCUCAACCUGGGAACUGCAUCCAAAACUGGCAAGCUAGAGUAUGGUAGAGGGUGGUGGAAUUUCCUGUGUAGCGGUGAAAUGCGUAGAUAUAGGAAGGAACACCAGUGGCGAAGGCGACCACCUGGACUGAUACUGACACUGAGGUGCGAAAGCGUGGGGAGCAAACAGGAUUAGAUACCCCCGUAGUCCCUGUCUCUUAUAC